AGAGUUUGAUCCUGGCUCAGGACGAACGCUGGCGGCGUGCCUAAUACAUGCAAGUAGAACGCUGAAGAGAGGAGCUUGCUCUUCUUGGAUGAGUUGCGAACGGGUGAGUAACGCGUAGGUAACCUGCCUUGUAGCGGGGGAUAACUAUUGGAAACGAUAGCUAAUACCGCAUAACAAUGGAUGACACAUGUCAUUUAUUUGAGAGGGGCAAUUGUUCCACUACAAGAUGGACCUGCGUUGUAUUAGCUAGUAGGUGAGGUAAUGGCUCACCUAGGCGACGAUACAUAGCCGACCUGAGAGGGUGAUCGGCCACACUGGGACUGAGACACGGCCCAGACUCCUACGGGAGGCAGCAGUAGGGAAUCUUCGGCAAUGGGGGCAACCCUGACCGAGCAACGCCGCGUGAGUGAAGAAGGUUUUCGGAUCGUAAAGCUCUGUUGUAAGUCAAGAACGGGUGUGAGAGUGGAAAGUUCACACUGUGACGGUAGCUUACCAGAAAGGGACGGCUAACUACGUGCCAGCAGCCGCGGUAAUACGUAGGUCCCGAGCGUUGUCCGGAUUUAUUGGGCGUAAAGCGAGCGCAGGCGGUUUGAUAAGUCUGAAGUUAAAGGCUGUGGCUCAACCAUAGUUCGCUUUGGAAACUGUCAAACUUGAGUGCAGAAGGGGAGAGUGGAAUUCCAUGUGUAGCGGUGAAAUGCGUAGAUAUAUGGAGGAACACCGGUGGCGAAAGCGGCUCUCUGGUCUGUAACUGACGCUGAGGCUCGAAAGCGUGGGGAGCGAACAGGAUUAGAUACCCUGGUAGUCCACGCCGUAAACGAUGAGUGCUAGGUGUUGGAUCCUUUCCGGGAUUCAGUGCCGCAGCUAACGCAUUAAGCACUCCGCCUGGGGAGUACGACCGCAAGGUUGAAACUCAAAGGAAUUGACGGGGGCCCGCACAAGCGGUGGAGCAUGUGGUUUAAUUCGAAGCAACGCGAAGAACCUUACCAGGUCUUGACAUCCCGAUGCUAUUUCUAGAGAUAGAAAGUUACUUCGGUACAUCGGUGACAGGUGGUGCAUGGUUGUCGUCAGCUCGUGUCGUGAGAUGUUGGGUUAAGUCCCGCAACGAGCGCAACCCCUAUUGUUAGUUGCCAUCAUUCAGUUGGGCACUCUAGCGAGACUGCCGGUAAUAAACCGGAGGAAGGUGGGGAUGACGUCAAAUCAUCAUGCCCCUUAUGACCUGGGCUACACACGUGCUACAAUGGUUGGUACAACGAGUUGCGAGUCGGUGACGGCGAGCUAAUCUCUUAAAGCCAAUCUCAGUUCGGAUUGUAGGCUGCAACUCGCCUACAUGAAGUCGGAAUCGCUAGUAAUCGCGGAUCAGCACGCCGCGGUGAAUACGUUCCCGGGCCUUGUACACACCGCCCGUCACACCACGAGAGUUUGUAACACCCGAAGUCGGUGAGGUAACCUUUUGGAGCCAGCCGCCUAAGGUGGGACAGACGAUUGGGGUGAAGUCGUAACAAGGUA
This 1506-nucleotide ribosomal RNA is filed under the name metagenome. RNAcentral describes it as "bacterial SSU rRNA". It matches the Rfam family "Bacterial small subunit ribosomal RNA". The record is from RNAcentral.